CAGCANGUAAUGGUGGGAACUNCNGGGAGNCUGCCNNUGAUAANNCGGAGGAAGGUGGGGACGACGUCAAGUCAUCAUGGCCCUUACGAGUAGGGCUACACACGUGCUACAAUGGCGCAUACAGAGGNCNGCCAACCAGCGAUGGUGAGCGAAUCCCAAAAAGUGCGUCGUAGUCCGGAUUGGAGUCUGCAACUCGACUCCAUGAAGUCGGAAUCGCUAGUAAUCGUGAAUCAGAAUGUCACGGUGAAUACGUUCCCGGGCCUUGUACACACCGNNCNUCNCACCAUGGGAGUGGGCUGCAAAAGAAGUGGGUAGUU
This 317-nucleotide ribosomal RNA is filed under the name Vibrio sp. HR11-30. RNAcentral describes it as "partial 16S ribosomal RNA". It matches the Rfam family "Bacterial small subunit ribosomal RNA", at positions 1119 to 1435 of the family's 1533-position model. The record is from RNAcentral. Lineage: Bacteria; Pseudomonadati; Pseudomonadota; Gammaproteobacteria; Vibrionales; Vibrionaceae.